Molecule: long non-coding RNA, 480 nt
Filed under: Anser brachyrhynchus (Pink-footed goose)
Lineage: Eukaryota; Metazoa; Chordata; Aves; Anseriformes; Anatidae
Description: lncRNA (ENSABRG00000011252.1)
Source: RNAcentral
AUGUCCCCACGGCGCUGGCAGGUGUGGGGUGGCAGGAGCGGCUGUGCUGGAGAGGGGAAAGGGCGCUGUGUUGUAACCGCGGGGAGGGCCAGCGCUGGGACGGGCUCUGGCGCAGCCCAGUACCGCCACCGAGGAAGCGGGCGGCCGCCGGCGCUUGCCUGGCUGGUGACACAGGGACAUGGAGGCGAAGGCUGGAGGGACAUGGUCCUCACUGGAGCUGCUGGAGGUGCACCAGGACUGUACACCCCCGGACAGCAAGACCCAGGCAAAGCCAGCGUGCCAGCACAAAGCCGGCACCCCCCACGAGCAAACCAGCACUACCCCCAGCUCCCACCACCCGGCGUGCAGGAGGGCUGGCUCCUGGGGCACGGGGAAGUGCUGAGCCAGGCAUUGUGCCUUUGUGAAAAGGCACUGCGCCCCUUUGCAGGGAGGUACUCAAGGGCUGUGCACGGCACUGGGCGUGCAGGAGGCUGGGGACGG